RNAcentral lists this ribosomal RNA (253 nucleotides) under uncultured bacterium. RNAcentral's name for it is "partial 16S ribosomal RNA". It matches the Rfam family "Bacterial small subunit ribosomal RNA", at positions 524 to 776 of the family's 1533-position model. The record is from RNAcentral.
UACGUAGGGACCAAGCGUUGUUCGGAUUUACUGGGCGGAAAGGGCGCGUAGGCGGCGCGGUAAGUCACUUGUGAAAUCUCUGAGCUUAACUCAGAACGGCCAAGUGAUACUGCAGUGCUAGAGUGUGGAAGGGGCAAUCGGAAUUCUUGGUGUAGCGGUGAAAUGCGUAGAUAUCAAGAGGAACACCUGAGGUGAAGACGGGUUGCUGGGCCAACACUGACGCUGAGGCGCGAAAGCCAGGUGAGCAAACAGG